Molecule: ribosomal RNA, 490 nt
Filed under: uncultured bacterium
Lineage: Bacteria
Description: partial 16S ribosomal RNA
Rfam family: Bacterial small subunit ribosomal RNA
Source: RNAcentral
AUUGAACGCUGGCGGCAGGCCUAACACAUGCAAGUCGAACGGUAACAGGAAACAGCUUGCUGUUUCGCUGACGAGUGGCGGACGGGUGAGUAAUGUCAGGGAAACUGCCUGAUGGAGGGGGAUAACUACUGGAAACGGUAGCUAAUACCGCAUAACGUCGCAAGACCAAAGAGGGGGACCUUCGGGCCUCUUGCCAUCGGGUGGGCCCAGAUGGGAUUAGCUAGUAGGUGGGGUAACGGCUCACCUAGGCGACGAUCCCUAGCUGGUGUGAGAGGAUGAGCAGCCACACUGGAACUGAGACACGGUCCAGACUCCUACGGGAGGCAGCAGUGGGGAAUAUUGCACAAUGGGCGCAAGCCUGAUGCAGACAUGCCGCGUGUAUGAAGAAGGCCUUCGGGUUGUAAAGUACUUUCAGCGGGGAGGAAGGGAGUAAAGUUAAUACCUUUGCUCAUUGACGUUACCCGCAGAAGAAGCACCGGCUAACUACGUG